RNAcentral lists this ribosomal RNA (1381 nucleotides) under uncultured organism. RNAcentral describes it as "bacterial SSU rRNA". It matches the Rfam family "Bacterial small subunit ribosomal RNA". The record is from RNAcentral.
GGCGUGGAUUAGGCAUGCAAGUCGAGCGGAAAGGUCCCUUCGGGGAGUACUCGAGCGGCGAAAGGGAGAGUAAUGCGUGGAUCAUCUACCCCCGGGACCGGGAUAGCCACGGGAAACUGUGGGUAAUACCGGAUAACGUCUCCGGACCAAAGGUGCGAUUCCGCCCAGGGAUGAGUCCACGCCCUACUAGCUUGUUGGUGGGGUAAUGGCCUACCAAGGCAACGAUGGGUACCGGGCGUGAGAGCGUGAUCCGGCUCACUGGGACUGAGACACUACCCAGACACCUACGGGUGGCUGCAGUCGAGAAUCUUCGGCAAUGGACGAAAGUCUGACCGAGCGACGCCGUGUGUGUGAUGAAGGCCUUCGGGUUGUAAAACACUGUCAGUUGUGAGGAAAUCUCAGGGGGCUAUCCCUCUGAGUUGACCUAGCUUCAGAGGAAGGACGGGCUAAGUUCGUGCCAGCAGCCGCGGUAAGACGAACCGUCCAAACGUUAUUCGGAAUCACUGGGCUUAAAGGGUGCGUAGGCGGCAUAUCAAGUGGGGUGUGAAAUACCUCGGCUCAACCGAGGAACUGCGCUCCAAACUGAUAUGCUUGAGGAAGGCAGAGGUAAGCGGAACUUGCGGUGGAGCGGUGAAAUGCUUUGAUAUCGCAAGGAACACCAGUGGCGAAGGCGGCUUACUGGGCCUUUUCUGACGCUCAGGCACGAAAGCUAGGGGAGCGAACGGGAUUAGAUACCCCGGUAGUCCUAGCUGUAAACAUUGAGCACUUGGUCAGGGGAUUCUCCAUAGUUUCCUGGCCGUAGCGAAAGUGUUAAGUGCUCCGCCUGGGGAGUAUGGUCGCAAGGCUGAAACUCAAAGGAAUUGACGGGGGCCCGCACAAGCGGUGGAACAUGUGGUUUAAUUCGAUGAUACGCGAGGAACCUUACCUGGGCUUAAAUGUAGACUGCAUUUCCGGGAAACCGGAAUUUCCUUCGGGACCGUCUACAAGGUGCUGCAUGGUUGUCGUCAGCUCGUGCCGUGAGGUGUCGGGUUAAGUCCCAUAACGAGCGCAACCCCUAUCGUUAGUUGCCAGCGAGUAAUGUCGGGGACUCUAGCGAAACUGCCGGUGUAAACCGAGAGGAAGGUGGGGAUGACGUCAAAUCAGCACGGCCCUUAUGUCCAGGGCUACACACGUGUUACAAUGGUCAGUACAAAGGGCAGCUACCUGGUGACAGGAUGCUAAUCUCGAAAACUGGUCUCAGUUCGGAUUGGAGUCUGCAAUUCGACUCCAUGAAGCUGGAAUCGCUAGUAAUCGCGCAUCAGCAACGGCGCGGUGAUACGUUCCCGGGCCUUGUACACACCGCCCGUCAAGCCAUGGAAGCUGGGGGUGCCUGAAGUCCGUA